GACAGCGGUGCCAAGCGUUAGGCGGAAUCACUGGGCUUAAAGCGUGUGUAGGCGGCUCGGUAAGUCCGCUGUGAAAGUCCAGGGCUCAACCCUGGAAUGCCAGUGGAAACUGUCGAGCUAGAGUCCGGAAGAGGCGAGUGGAAUUCCUGGUGUAGCGGUGAAAUGCGCAGAUAUCAGGAGGAACACCAAUGGCGAAGGCAGCUCGCUGGGACGGUACUGACGCUGAGACGCGAAAGCGUGGGGAGCAAACAGG
RNAcentral lists this ribosomal RNA (253 nucleotides) under uncultured bacterium. RNAcentral describes it as "partial 16S ribosomal RNA". It matches the Rfam family "Bacterial small subunit ribosomal RNA", at positions 524 to 776 of the family's 1533-position model. The record is from RNAcentral.